GUACCACAACAGACGCCACGGUACCAGCCACUGCUGAAAACACUGAUCCCAAGACAGACACCACGAUACCGGCCACUGCUGAAAAUACUGAUCCCCAGACAGACACCACGAUAGCGGCCACUGCUGAAAAUAAAG
Molecule: long non-coding RNA, 135 nt
Organism: Liolophura sinensis
Lineage: Eukaryota; Metazoa; Mollusca; Polyplacophora; Chitonida; Chitonidae
Exons: 3
Source: RefSeq, a predicted model, not a curated record